CCCUUUUGGGUAGGGGUAAGACUGCCUACAUAUUACCCUCCCCAGACCCCACCUGGUGGGAGUAUACUGGGUAGUUGUUGUUGUUGUUGUUUGGCUCUCACAUGUUCUGUGCAUCAUGCAUUUUAUCUGUCAUAUCGUGACCCUUGUAACCUUUCUGCCACUUCUCCUGCCAAAAUUUUAUUUUGGUCGUCCUUCCUUCAGUUCAUUACUUCACCCUAUGAAGCUCUUUGCUUGUUCAUGUCUUUUUACAAACUUGUCCCUUUUUUUUAACACGGUGAUUAUACCUGCUUUGUGGCUGUCUGGAACAGUUUUUGGGUUAUUAGAUCUGAUCUGUUGGGAGUUCAGUAAUAAGUAUUCUUCAAGGUCUAAGAGUAACAUUUCUGAUUUGACAUUAUAGUGGUCAUAAAUUAAAAUCACAUUAGAGUUCUGUAAUAUUUCUGGCCCAUUCUGAUUCUCACCAUCCAUUUUCAUUAUUAAUUCUAUACCUGUUUUGUGGCUGUCUGGAACCGUUUUUUGGUUAUUAAUUCUAAUCUGUUGGGAGUUCAGUAAUAAGUAUUCUUCAAGGUCUAAGAGUAACAUUUCUGAUUUGACAUUACAGUGGUCAUAAAUUAAAAUAUAUGAGCGUAGUAAGUCUACGUGUACCUCAUAGUAUACUAGUUAAUACUUACUAACCAUAAUUUAUGUAUUUUUGUCAAAUACACAUAAUGAUAUUACUCUCUGAGUACUUGAGAUGCUUAUUUGUUGUAGGUUCUUUCGGUCAGCCUAUAACUUAUAUGUGCUGCCACGCUACUGUAACCUUAUCCAGUUGAGUCAAUGCUUGUUCCCCAAUGUUAGUCAUGGCAGUGUCUGUACGUGAUUAUUACAUAAACGAAAUGUCUGAAUUGCUUAUAGAAUCGCCUAGUAGGAAAACACAACGUAAUGUUUUUCUUUUCAAGAGCUUUAUCGUUUACUCCCUUUGUUUCAUUUACUCGGUGUUUGAUUGGGCAAGGAGUUUAGAAAAUAAAUAAGGACCAUUGGUAUAUACCAAAGGUACCCCUUAGAAAGGUGCCGGUCUUUCUGUAACAGACUAAAAUGAAAGAAGUGUUACAUCAAAUGGAACCAGCGGAUUAAAUUAUUCUAAGCCUACCAUUCUCACCUCACACUUUUCCAUGAUUAUUAGGACAAUUCCGGUCAGAUUGCCAUUGCUAUUGUACAUCAUUGAAGUGACUCAGUUUUGUGCCAAUCUUAAAGUUUGCUUGUCCUGGGUCUUUUUCUAGGUUGUCCAUCCCAAGUGUUUUUUCCAUCUUCUUGGGGGUUAUCCUCUCUUUUUGAUUUUGGGGUCUGUUUAAGAAUGUCUUAUAAGGAGAACUUCAUGCAUCUAUAAAAGUACAACCCAGUAUAAUCCCACUUAGUGGGGUAUGGGGAGGGUAGUAUGUACGCAGANNN
Molecule: long non-coding RNA, 1425 nt
Filed under: Nicotiana benthamiana
Lineage: Eukaryota; Viridiplantae; Streptophyta; Magnoliopsida; Solanales; Solanaceae
Description: long non-coding RNA (NBEN_LNC039410)
Source: RNAcentral